GACGGGGGGGGCAAGCGUUGUUCGGAAUUAUUGGGCGUAAAGAGCUCGUAGGCGGUGUGUCACGUCGGCCGUGAAAACCUGCAGCUUAACUGUGGGCGUGCGGUCGAUACGGGCAUCACUGGAGUUCGGCAGGGGAGACUGGAAUUCCUGGUGUAGCGGUGAAAUGCGCAGAUAUCAGGAGGAACACCGGUGGCGAAGGCGGGUCUCUGGGCCGAUACUGACGCUGAGGAGCGAAAGCGUGGGGAGCAAACAGG
Molecule: ribosomal RNA, 254 nt
Filed under: uncultured bacterium
Lineage: Bacteria
Description: partial 16S ribosomal RNA
Rfam family: Bacterial small subunit ribosomal RNA
Source: RNAcentral